Molecule: transfer RNA, 66 nt
Filed under: Dipodomys ordii (Ord's kangaroo rat)
Lineage: Eukaryota; Metazoa; Chordata; Mammalia; Rodentia; Heteromyidae
Rfam family: tRNA
About the family: Transfer RNA (tRNA) molecules are approximately 80 nucleotides in length.
Source: Rfam by way of RNAcentral
GGUGGCUCAAUGUAGAGAGUGCUUGCCUUGCAUGCAUGAGGCCCUAGGUUCAAUUCCUCAGCACCA